GACGAGGGAUCCUAGCGUUGUUCGGAAUCAUUGGGCGUAAAGCGGGUGUAGGUGGCUUUGUAAGUCAGGUGUGAAAGCCCAGGGCUCAACCCUGGAAGUGCAUUUGAUACUGCGAAGCUUGAGUGCUGGAGAGGUAAGUAGAAUACCUGGUGUAGUGGUGAAAUACGUAGAUAUCAGGUGGAAUACCGGAGGCGAAGGCGGCUUACCAGCCAGACACUGACACUCAGACCCGAAAGUGUGGGGAUCAAACAGG
This 253-nucleotide ribosomal RNA is filed under the name uncultured Bdellovibrio sp. RNAcentral describes it as "partial 16S ribosomal RNA". It matches the Rfam family "Bacterial small subunit ribosomal RNA", at positions 524 to 776 of the family's 1533-position model. Lineage: Bacteria; Pseudomonadati; Bdellovibrionota; Bdellovibrionia; Bdellovibrionales; Pseudobdellovibrionaceae. The record is from RNAcentral.